GUGAGUGUUGAAAUAGCACAGCAGUUCUCAAACUUUAACGUGGAGUCCUGUCCGGAGGCUGGGGCUUCCCAGGUGGUGCUAGUGGUAAAGAACCCGCCUGCCAACGCAGGAGAUGUAAGAGGUUCGAUCCCUGGGUCAAGAAGAUCCCCUGGAGAAGAAAAUGGCAACCCACUUCAGUAUUCCUGCCUGGAGAAUCCCAUGGGCAGAGGAGCUAGAGUCCAUGGAGUCGAAAAGAGCUGGAUAUGAGUGAAGUGACUGAGCCAAGGCCACAAGUGUGAGGCCUUGCUCUAGGGCCACAGAAGCUGAGCCCAGAAAGGAGGUCAUCUCCGGAACUGACAACCCCUUUGUAACUGUUGCCAAAAGCCCCCCUGAUUAUCACCAGCAGGUUUCCUGAUCCCAUAUUAGUCAAAAAUGCCUGCCCCCAGUACUCACCCUAUAGCAUCCUAACCUGUCACCUAAGGCCACUCUUUCAGCUGGAAUUUUCUCUGUCUUGAGGCUAUAAAAACUGGCUGCUGCUAAGUCACUCCAGUCGUGUCCAACUCUGUGACACCAUAGACGGCACCCCACCAGGCUCCUCCUCCCCACCAGGAUUCUCCUGGAGAAUCCCAGGUUUUGAUUUUUUUGGAUCUGAACCCACCCCUGCUGCACUAGGAGGCAAGGUCCCAAGCACUGGACUGCCAGGGAAGUCCAGAGAAACCCUGCUCUAAGUGAUCCAACUGGGCAAGACUUGGAUUUGUAUAAAAGUGGUGGACGUUGGAAUAUACCUCAGGAGAUGAUUGAUGUUGACUUUUCAUUUCCUGGAAGGAAAAGAUCCUCAAAAACUACCUAACAUUCUCUGAAGCUAGAUUCUGCUCCUUGCUCCUGGAUCUCACUCAAGGAUGAGCAAGACAGUUACGCCUCUCAGGAAGCUUGCAGAUUUCAGAUCCCAGGGCAGCCGCCCAACAAAGCACCAGAGCUUGGCUCCCAGCGGGGCAUAUUCCCAGAGCAGCAUCCAUCCGGGAUCCGCAUCCGGCAGGCCUUGCUCUGCUCUGCAUCCUCGCUUAGGAUGGCAUAGGUGUUGAUUACACCGUGUUCCCAUUCUCUGCUUCCAACCCAUGGGCUAACGAAUGAGGGCAGUCCUCGUGGGUUCUGAUUAGAAUCUUCACAUAUCCGUCCCUAAAUUUGCAGAAUAUCAUAAGCC
Molecule: long non-coding RNA, 1180 nt
Organism: Bos taurus (domestic cattle)
Lineage: Eukaryota; Metazoa; Chordata; Mammalia; Artiodactyla; Bovidae
Source: Ensembl